RNAcentral lists this long non-coding RNA (2000 nucleotides) under Nicotiana benthamiana. RNAcentral describes it as "long non-coding RNA (NBEN_LNC019553)". Lineage: Eukaryota; Viridiplantae; Streptophyta; Magnoliopsida; Solanales; Solanaceae. The record is from RNAcentral.
GAAAAUAUAGUAAUGGAAACUACAUCUACAUGAGAAUUUCAGCUAACACCUUGUUCAAUUGAAAUUUCAUACUCAUUUGUAGCCUGAUUUUAACUAAAGCUCAAUUUAAUCAUGCAAAAACUGAAAUGAAUUAUAUUCACACAGUCCACUACUUGAGGGUAACAGUUCGAAACUCAGUUACCACACAAGCAAUGCAUAUCACAGAUUUUGAAUUAGUUCCUAGCUCAAAUUAUUUCCUGGUGCCGAACAUUUAAACAACAAACUAAACUAAUCACAGUUCAAACCCUUGCAGACUAACAGUACAUGGUAAUUUAACACAAUCCUAGUUUAAAUCAGUAUCCAAACAUGGAAAUUGAUCCUAAUUAGACAGCUUCUCUUCAUUAGAGUUUGAACGAACUAAAACUACAAGAAUACAAAAUUGUUUGUUUAGCACUGAAUACAUGAACAUAGAUCUGAACAUCCAUUCAUUUGAAUCCAAUUUCUGAUAUGGAAAUAGAAAUAGAGUAGAAGAGGUCAGUCACAGUAACAGUUUCGAGCAACAACAAUAGUAUUCAAUUCCCAGCAAUAGCGCAAUGAACAAGUCCAAGUAAUAAACCCAGAAAUCCGAAAAUGUUUAAAACCAGGCAGAAAUAACAACACUGACUCAACAACAGCCUGAAUAACCCAAAACCACUUGAAAAACCAACCAGGGAACUUCUAAAACCCUCUCAACCAGAAAUCAAACUUGACAUGCAAAUCAACAACUGGAAUUCUAACUUUGAUCUCAAGAGCACUAAUGCAAUAGUAGAUUUCCUAUUUUUGUUUUGUAUUUUUCUUUUUUUGUAUUUUCUGAGAGAACUAAGAGCUGAAAGAUUUUAUGACUUGAAAUCUCAACUAGGGGAGUGUUUUUUGGGAAUUUUUAUGGCUGAAUGGAAGCCCCUCAACAAGGUAUUUGUGAUGCCUUUUAUUGGCAACAAAGAAGUAACCGCAGAAUUUCAGUUUUUCUUUUAGUCCCUGUGCAUUUUCAAUUUAGUCCCUCAUUCUUGAGAUUUGUUAGACAAGUUAGUACCCUAAGUUUAUUAAAAUCUGACUUAUGUCCUAUGAAAGAAAGAUCUAGGAAAUCCUAAUUAUUUCUGCAGCAUUCCUAAAACAAAACCUAUUCAACUAAUUAAUAACAUAAUAGAACUAAUUAUUGAGUAACUACUGAAUUACUGUUUUCAAACACAUACUCUCAUACUGAAAAUUUAAUCAAUCCUAAAAUAAUUACAUCAUAGAUGAAUUGAAUCUAAUUUUAAACUAAUCAUUCAAAAUAAUCAGAGUUAACCCAUACUUAAAGUUAAAUUAAGAAAACUCAUACUUUAACUAACUCUUAUAGAUUUAAACUAACCAAACAAAACCGAAACUUACAUAAAUCCAUUAACUAAACUUUGAUCAAUUGUGCUAACAGAAGCAAGAAGAAAAAGAACUGCAUCAGAAUUGACCUAACUAAAAUUAGAAAUACCAUAGAAACAGAGAAGACUAAUUAAACCAGACCCACGACACCUAAUUAAUUAAAAGAAAUACUAAGAAAACUAAAGGGGCUCACCAGCCGUUUAUUUUCAAAUUCCAGCCUCGGAUGAAUCUAGUGGGAUUUGCAUACAAUGACUGGAAUUCUUCAUGGGGAAGGUCCCAGGAUCAUGUGGUAUCAAUUUGGAGAGGCUUGGGACAACUAGGAUUUUGGACGGAAAACCUUCAAUUUGAUAUUCGAGGAAUUUCAGUCAUAUUCGAAGGGUGUGGUUUUGGGGAUUCGACAGAGGAAGCCAAGACGUUCUUGGGGUGUUAUUUUGGUGUGAUUUGGACGGAGUUGUGUCAUGACCAAAAGGUUUUGAACGGAUAUUCGACGAGUUCCAGUAAGAUUUGAAAGAAAAGGACAAUGGAUUCAUAUAGAGGAGGAGAAGGGGAAUCUAGGGUACAUUUUUUGGAGGCAACGGAAAUGGUGGCGUCCGCCGGCAGCUAUAUCUAAAUGUAACAAUCAAUUGUGG